GGCACUGUACACAGUGCUCAAAACAAUCAUGCGUAUGUGUUAACCACAAUGUGCGCUUAAAACUUAACUAUUGACCUCGUAUAAGGUAAGAGUACCCACUGAACUUAAGCAUAUCAAUAAGUGGAGGAAAAGAAACCAACAGGGAUUGCCUUAGUAGCGGCGAGUGAAGCGGCAAAAGCUCAAAUUUGAAAUCUGCCUUACGGCCGAGUUGUAAUUUGUAGAUGGUAACUCUGCGACAAGUCUUUGCUCAAGUGUUCUGGAAAGGACCAUCAUGGAGGGUGAUAAUCCCGUGAGGCAUUGAUGCAGUUGCGUGUAGAGUGCUAUCGAAGAGUCGAGUUGUUUGGGAAUGCAGCUCAAAGUGGGUGGUAGACACCAUCUAAAGCUAAAUAUUGGCGAGAGACCGAUAGCGAACAAGUACUGUGAAGGAAAGAUGAAAAGCACUUUGAAAAGAGAGUGAAAAAGUACGUGAAAUUAUUGAUACAGAAGGAUAUACAAUUGGACACGGAGUCUUGGGUUCGCUGCUUCUUCGGGAGUAGUUUGUCCCUUGAUUCUUCACCAGCAUCAGUUUUGGCAGGAGGAUAAACAACAUGGAAUGUAGCUGCUUGCAGUGUUAUAGACUUGUUGCAUACUCUUUGCCGGGACUGAGGUCAGCCUUUGUAGGAUGCUGGGGUAACGAUUGUAUAUCACCCGUCUUGAAACA
This 700-nucleotide ribosomal RNA is filed under the name Wickerhamiella nectarea. Its description in RNAcentral is "LSU rRNA". The stretch from base 72 to 700 matches the Rfam family "Eukaryotic large subunit ribosomal RNA", at positions 1 to 661 of the family's 3401-position model. The record is from RNAcentral. Lineage: Eukaryota; Fungi; Ascomycota; Dipodascomycetes; Dipodascales; Trichomonascaceae.